CUCCUGGGAAACGGGUGGUAAUGCCGGAUGCUCCAGUUGAUCGCAUGGUCUUCUGGGAAAGCUUUCGCGGUAUGGGAUGGGGUCGCGUCCUAUCAGCUUGACGGCGGGGUAACGGCCCACCGUGGCUUCGACGGGUAGCCGGCCUGAGAGGGCGACCGGCCACAUUGGGACUGAGAUACGGCCCAGACUCCUACGGGAGGCAGCAGUGGGGAAUAUUGCACAAUGGGCGCAAGCCUGAUGCAGCGACGCCGCGUGAGGGAUGGAGGCCUUCGGGUUGUAAACCUCUUUUAUCGGGGAGCAAGCGAGAGUGAGUUUACCCGUUGAAUAAGCACCGGCUAACUACGUGCCAGCAGCCGCGGUAAUACGUAGGGUGCAAGCGUUAUCCGGAAUUAUUGGGCGUAAAGGGCUCGUAGGCGGUUCGUCGCGUCCGGUGUGAAAGUCCAUCGCUUAACGGUGGAUCCGCGCCGGGUACGGGCGGGCUUGAGUGCGGUAGGGGAGACUGGAAUUCCCGGUGUAACGGUGGAAUGUGUAGAUAUCGGAAAAAA
RNAcentral lists this ribosomal RNA (545 nucleotides) under Bifidobacterium longum subsp. infantis. Its description in RNAcentral is "bacterial SSU rRNA". It matches the Rfam family "Bacterial small subunit ribosomal RNA", at positions 147 to 706 of the family's 1533-position model. The record is from RNAcentral. Lineage: Bacteria; Bacillati; Actinomycetota; Actinomycetes; Bifidobacteriales; Bifidobacteriaceae. RNAcentral also lists the same sequence under 1 other name.